AUUUCCUGUGCUGCUCUGCUUGCAGUACUCAUGUAGUAUGUGAAAUGAUUAAGAGCGAAUGCUGUUGCCGAAAUACCCUCUGGAUUCACAUGUACAUAUGUAUUCACAUGCAUUCACUUGUAUUUGCCUUAGUUGACGGAGGAAUUUCAAUUAAUUCAAUUGAAAGUUGGAUGGCGCAAGUACGUAACUUCAACCCAGCCAAGCCUCACUGUUCUAAUGCGGCUUAUUCUCUGCUCGUAUAAAUCACAUAAAAAACUGCGUAUAUGUGUAUGUACCUAGGCACAGGGGAGUCCUUGACAGAUGAGUUGUCUAAGUGGCGCAGCCAUUGAAACCAUCGAACCUGAACAACGGAUAUUCUGACCUAAUUGCAAGUGUGAUUAAGCAAAUAUAUUCUAUGUAAUUAUGUUAAUUGUUUAUAAAUAUGCGCUGAAAUUUUAAUUGAAAUUCUAUAAUUUUUCCCCCUAAGUAAAAAAAUGUAGUUGAUAAAAAAUGAGCAAUUAUUCAUGUAUAAAUAUCUAAGUUUUGUUAUAUUAUAUAUUAUAAUUAAUUUUGCUACUCAUUCACAAAUGUGAAACGAGUAUAUUGGUUCUGCACAAUGUCAAAAGGUAUUCUGCAGUCGAUAACGCCCCAGGGCAACACUUUUACUUGUUUUUUAACUACUUUAAAAAUAUGUAUAGAAAUUUUAGCUUAAAUUCUGUUGUUUCACUUUAGACUGAGUCUCGUUUCUCAACUUGAUUCUCAAUUUUCUUUUAAUUGAACAAUUAUUUAAGACUGUCCUGUCCUUUUUCAGUUGCUCCAGAUGCUAGAAGGCAGACGGCCUUUGACUGCUAGAGACAGCCAGAGACCUCUCAAUUCAAGUAGAUGCUUAUUUUUACGAUUUUUGCUCUCAAGUUUUGCUUCCUUUUAUAAACGGCUUUCUCCACUUUGUUCACAAAGUGAAAUGCGAAUAUUAACUAUUAUGUUAGCUAACCACGUGUCCGUCUGCAGGUCCGUAAAUAUAAACACAAAGUGAUUUAUUUCCCUUUGAACUUUGAAACUUUAAACAUGGUUUUUAUACUCGCUCAUGCCAUCAGUUUUAUAAAUUCAGAAGACUUUUGACUUUUUUCCACAAAUCAAGUACAACUAUGUUUUGAGCAAAGUAAACGCUUUCAUUUACAGACAGUUCUAGUUUGGAAUAUAUGUUCGCUUAUAGCACGAGCAGAGCAAAAAUAUCAAUUUCUAUCAAUAUCAAUUAUAGGCUCGGCCUACUGCAGUCGUGUGACAUCGUGACAAUUUUAUACUUGAUAAUUGAGUUAUUGUUAACCUCUUCACCAGAUAGACAAUAAAUUUUAUAUAUCUUGCUCAUGAUAAUUGUAAACAGAACCAAAUGAAAUUGAGAAAUUAAAUGAAUGUCCACAUUUUGUGUAGAAUAUAUGACAAUUUUACAUUUGAUAAUUAUGAUAUUUGUAGCCUUUUCAGAAGGUAUCAAAUGCAUUUUGUGUUCAUGAAAGUAAUAGUGAUGCAUUUUUGCACAAAAGUCAAAUCAAAUAAAAUGGUUCGUUGGUUUCGUUGCAAAAUGAAAAGAUGUUCGCUUUUUGUGUAGAAUUGCAUGCAAGGAACGUAUUUAAGUUUGGGCAUGUGAAAAGCAAGUAAAAACUCUAUCUUUCAAAGCUUUACAACUUUGAUAAUCAAGUUGCAGUUGGGUAACAGCUUGUUAUAAAGACAGAGUUACAAUGAAAUGCGCUUUUGGACAUAGCAAAAUAGAAAAUAACAUGAUUUUCUAAUGAACUCAAA
This is a long non-coding RNA of Drosophila mojavensis, 1773 nucleotides long. RefSeq lists it as uncharacterized. The transcript has 3 exons. Lineage: Eukaryota; Metazoa; Arthropoda; Insecta; Diptera; Drosophilidae. The record is from RefSeq and is a predicted model, not a curated record.